UUCCCCGUGGCCCAGUGGUCAAGGCUCUGCACCUCAACUGCAGGAGCGCGGGUCCCAUCCCCGACUGGGGAA
Molecule: transfer RNA, 72 nt
Filed under: Ovis aries (sheep)
Lineage: Eukaryota; Metazoa; Chordata; Mammalia; Artiodactyla; Bovidae
Rfam family: tRNA
About the family: Transfer RNA (tRNA) molecules are approximately 80 nucleotides in length. Their secondary structure includes four short double-helical elements and three loops (D, anti-codon, and T loops).
Source: Rfam by way of RNAcentral